RNAcentral lists this non-coding RNA (25 nucleotides) under Mus musculus (house mouse). Lineage: Eukaryota; Metazoa; Chordata; Mammalia; Rodentia; Muridae. The record is from RNAcentral.
UAGUUACCAUAGAGACUGCCUGCUG